This 465-nucleotide ribosomal RNA is filed under the name uncultured bacterium. RNAcentral describes it as "partial 16S ribosomal RNA". It matches the Rfam family "Bacterial small subunit ribosomal RNA", at positions 338 to 795 of the family's 1533-position model. The record is from RNAcentral.
CCUACGGGCGGCAGCAGUAGGGAAUCUUCCACAAUGGGCGAAAGCCUGAUGGAGCAACGCCGCGUGGGUGAAGAAGGUCUUCGGAUCGUAAAACCCUGUUGUUAGAGAAGAAAGUGCGUGAGAGUAACUGUUCACGUUUCGACGGUAUCUAACCAGAAAGCCACGGCUAACUACGUGCCAGCAGCCGCGGUAAUACGUAGGUGGCAAGCGUUAUCCGGAAUCAUUGGGCGUAAAGCGUUCGUAGGCGGUAUGUCAAGUCUGAUGUUAAAGCCCGGGGCUCAACUCCGGUUCGGCAUUGGAUACUGGCAAACUAGAAUGUGGUAGAGGUAAAGGGAAUUCCUGGUGUAGCGGUGAAAUGCGUAGAUAUCAGGAGGAACAUCGGUGGCGAAAGCGCUUUACUGGACCAUUAUUGACGCUGAGGAACGAAAGCCAGGGGAGCAAAUGGGAUUAGAUACCCUAGUAGUC